UCAUUGGAAGGCGUUGUCCUGCUCCUUAGAUGAUGAAUUUUGUCACGUCACUAGAAUUACAUCCACUUGUAAUUCAGAAGAGGAAAUUAUGUCUGAUGAUGAGAUGAGGCCUUCUACUGAUGGAAAAUUCAAAAGAGAUGGUAAAAGUACAAUGCUUAAAGUAAGUGCAGAUUGCAAAUCAGGAGCUUUCUUCAAUAAAGAUGCUGGGUGUUCAUCGGUAUACGGGGCCUCAUCAAAAUUGAACAGAUCAUCUAAAGGAAGCCCGGGCAAAUCUAAGGCCAAAUUUUUGUUCCAAUCCCGGCCACAGAAGAAAGACUAUGCUUUGGUUGUCCAUGAUAGUUGUGAAACCUGCAUGCCCUUAUCUGUGCUUCCACUAAAUGCAGAAUUAGACAUGCAAAGAAAAAAUAUAGAGUCACUGGAUGACUUAUUGGAGAAUUAUGGUGGAAAUGAAGUACAACAGUUCGAGGAGAAUUUGGUCUCAUCUGAAGUAGCGGUUGUACAUGAUCCAAAUGAGCAUUCCAUGGCUGAGGUUCUGGAUCACUUUCAGCAUACAAGUUCCUCACGAGGCAAUCCUAAAAUGCUGCAAACAAAAAGACCUGGAUCACGGUUCUUAUGGAAGAGAAACUUAUUGCUGCUUGGUGACAGAAACAUGAGCAAUGGCGAACAACCUGAGGAACUAGAUAGUGAUCCAUCUAGUGAUGAGGAUGUAAAUGAAGUUCCCCAGAUUCUGAAGUCUGCUAUACCUCAGAGGACCAUGGCUGACCAAUUUCAUCUAGCGUUAGGAGCUGUAUCCACAAAUGAGAGGCUAUGUAUUGCAAGGCCUAAG
RNAcentral lists this unclassified non-coding RNA (826 nucleotides) under Hevea brasiliensis (rubber tree). The record is from RNAcentral. Lineage: Eukaryota; Viridiplantae; Streptophyta; Magnoliopsida; Malpighiales; Euphorbiaceae.